UGCCCAUGAGACCAACGACGUUAUAAUAAAUAUUCAUUAGUUUUUUAUUUGCUCUUUCUUCGCUCUGGAGCUUGGCCCUUGACCCUUUAUAUAUAAUAUCCCGUCUCUUCUGAGUUGAUCUGAUUUUGAUUUUACUUUUUCUGAAAUCGAAGAAGCUAGAAAAAACUAAAAAAAAAACUGGGAUGAAGGAAUGGUAUUAGACUCAGGUCGGCUGGCCGAAAGGAAGUGAAUAGAAAAGAGUAAGGUGGGCAAGAUAACAGAAAAGGAGGGAGGGGGGGAGGGAGAAAGAAAACAAAAAAAAAAAAAAAAGAAGCAAAACGGAAUCGCUUCAAAAUGGAUCAGGAAAGCCGUUAGUAACCGCACGUAUGUACGUAUGUAUGUAUCUAUGUAGUCAAUGUACCGUACAAAAAGAAACAGAGAAAGGAAAUUGUAUGGCAAAAUGAACACCCGAACACAAACCCGAUUGAGUCUGGAGUCUAAAAUGAAAAUAGAGAAAGACCAAAAAUAUAAACACGAUCAGAG
RNAcentral lists this small RNA (522 nucleotides) under Histoplasma capsulatum var. duboisii H88. RNAcentral describes it as "Histoplasma capsulatum H88 hypothetical RNA". The record is from RNAcentral. Lineage: Eukaryota; Fungi; Ascomycota; Eurotiomycetes; Onygenales; Ajellomycetaceae.